ACGGGUGAGUAAUGUCUGGGAAACUGCCUGAUGGAGGGGGAUAACUACUGGAAACGGUAGCUAAUACCGCAUAACGUCGCAAGACCAAAGAGGGGGACCUUCGGGCCUCUUGCCAUCAGAUGUGCCCAGAUGGGAUUAGCUAGUAGGUGGGGUAACGGCUCACCUAGGCGACGAUCCCUAGCUGGUCUGAGAGGAUGACCAGCCACACUGGAACUGAGACACGGUCCAGACUCCUACGGGAGGCAGCAGUGGGGAAUAUUGCACAAUGGGCGCAAGCCUGAUGCAGCCAUGCCGCGUGUAUGAAGAAGGCCUUCGGGUUGUAAAGUACUUUCAGCGGGGAGGAAGGUGUUGCGGUUAAUAACCGCAGCAAUUGACGUUACCCGCAGAAGAAGCACCGGCUAACUCCGUGCCAGCAGCCGCGGUAAUACGGAGGGUGCAAGCGUUAAUCGGAAUUACUGGGCGUAAAGCGCACGCAGGCGGUCUGUCAAGUCGGAUGUGAAAUCCCCGGGCUCAACCUGGGAACUGCAUUCGAAACUGGCAGGCUAGAGUCUUGUAGAGGGGGGUAGAAUUCCAGGUGUAGCG
Molecule: ribosomal RNA, 582 nt
Filed under: uncultured bacterium
Lineage: Bacteria
Description: bacterial SSU rRNA
Rfam family: Bacterial small subunit ribosomal RNA
Source: RNAcentral